AGGUAAAAUUUUGGAUAUUAAGUUUUACAAUCUAGUCACUUAGUUUUUUAAUUAUUACUCGGAAGCAAUUCUUUAUUUCCGCUACUGCCGCCGCUAUUUUAAAUAUUAAAAGUAUUUCAUUCUCCUUAAGAUUUUGAAGGGUUUGAUGAACUGUCAAGUGAUGACGAUUCAGACAGUGAUGACGAAACUAGUGACGAAGACGUGUAAUGAUAAUUUAAGAUGCUGAUGCAGAACAAUAUCAAUCAUGCUGCUAUAACCUAUUGUACAUAUUUAUAUUUUAUUAAAUGCUAUCAGAGCAUUU
Long non-coding RNA from Hydractinia symbiolongicarpus, 301 nucleotides. RefSeq lists it as uncharacterized. The transcript is spliced from 2 exons. The record is from RefSeq and is a predicted model, not a curated record. NCBI's taxonomy places the organism in Eukaryota, Metazoa, Cnidaria, Hydrozoa, Anthoathecata, Hydractiniidae.